GCCAGAGCGCCAGCAGCGCCCACAGCAGAGCGGGGCGCAGGGCGGGUAUCUUCUCGGUCGCCUCCUCCGCCGCCGCCGCCGCGGCCGCCUGGGCAGAUCCACAUGGGGAGGGGGUCCCGAUAGAGGAGCCCCACUCUCUCCUCCCCUCCUCCUGCUUCAAAGGCUCAGGCCCUGGCGCUACGCUCCGAAGCCCAGCGCAAAUGCCUCGACUCCCCGCGCCCCGAGUCCGCCGCUCCUCGGCCGCCGCCUCAGCCGCCGCCCGAAGUUUGGCUGAAACUUUCUCGGGUGUGCAGCGAAGCAGCCUCGUGUGUCCUUCCGCCUCAGCCGCCUCCUCCCACCGCAAGCCCCGCCCCACUGUCGCCGCGGCCUCGGCCCCGCCGCCUUGGGCACCCAGGGGUUUCCCGCAGGAAGAAGCGCCGGCCCGAGCUCCGCGCGGAGGGAUCUACUACGAGUCACUGGCCCCGUCCGCAUCCUUCUCCAGCGGCCCCGGGGGCCGCCGCGCCUUAACUCGAUCAGGGCUGCAGCGGCUCGCUGGCUUGACCAGUGCAGAAGGGGCGUGGAGGUGAGCGGGGUGGGGUAGGACUCUGAACUUCAAGCACUGGAGUUUGCCGGGAUCGUGAACUUGCAGGGAGAGGCGGUCCUCAUCCAGUGAGGUCUGUAUCGCCACCUACACCCACACAUCCACACACUGCUUUGCUAGCUAGAGGAAUGCUCUGGAGUAGGACCAGUGCUGUCAAAGAAGGAAAGUGGGCCAAGGCGCCAAAGUCCAUUAAAAAGGAAUAGAGCCAUCACGGAGUGGUGCUGCCCCAUUCAUUCAUUCAUUUGUUCAUCCGUGUAGCGAAUAUUUCUUAAGUGCCUUACUUUGCGUAGCUGUGUGCUUGGCAGUGGGAUGAUACCAAAGAUGCACAAGCAACUUUGAGUACCAAGACUUUGCCGCUGUGGGCUGGGGGAUUCAGGGAAGGCUUUCCCAGAGGAGCUGGGAUGAAAGCAGGAUCUUGAAAGGUCAGUAAAAUUUGUAUAAGACAAGGAGACCAGCUAAGCUAAGGAUAUUCGUUGUAACACUGUAAUAGCAAAACCUUGAAAACAACAUAAAUGCCCACCCUUAGAGGAAUGGAUGAAUAAUGUAUGGUAUAUUUAUAAAAUGAAAUGCAACACAGUAAUUGAAAAGACUAUAGCUAUUUAUGUCAAUAGGGAUAAAUCUUAAAAACUAAAUGACAGUGAAAAUAAUCGCAGAGGGAGACAAAGUAUACCAUUUAUGUAUAUUUUUUUCAAGACAAUACUACACAUUAUCUGUGGAUGCAUAUAUAUAGAUAUAGAUAUUAAGAGACUAUAACCAGAAUAGUAGUUACUUCCAGGGCAGGAGAGUAGGGGGUGUGAUCAAACCUGGGUACAAGUGGGCUUCUAAGAAAAGAGCUAAAAGUAAGAACAACAACAAUAGUUGUAUGGACAUAUCAUUCCGGGAAAGAGCCCUCGUGAAAGCAAAGGUACAGUCAGAAGAGUAAGUAAAUGAGUUCUGUCUCUGUUAGCAGUGAGAGGAGUCAAGGACGGAAAGGGGGUUGGGACCAAAUUAUGCAGCCUUGAAUGGCAAGCUGAAAGGGUGGGGAGGCAGCUACCUCUUAGGUCACAUAAAACUAUUGAAAGUUUUUGAACAGAGUUGAGAUUGAUGGAAAGGAAGAUUGCUCUGAUAAUUCUGUAGAAAAUUGAUUGUUGGGAGCAAGAGGUGAACUGGAGCCCCAGGACCAGUCAAGAGUUGGUGAACAGUCCAGGCACAAAUUUAAGAAGACCUGAACUAAUAAGGUAGAUUUCAGAAGGAAUGAAUCUGAGACAAUGUUAAAGAAACAGAAAAAAAAAAUGGAGGUGUGACUAAUUGGAUGUGGGAGUUUACAAUCCUGUUGGGAUGAGAAAUCCUACCCAUAGAACCUCUCCCUGACUCCUAUAGGAUAAAAUUCAAACUUCUAAACAUGGUACAUACAAGGCCUUUUCGUCAUUGGGCCCCAUCUCCUGUCCUCCCUGCCCCUGUUGUGAACUUCACACAAUAACAGUAUUACUUGAGAUUCCCCCAAACAUAUCUUGCUGUUUCUGUCCCUGUAUCUUUUGUUCCUUUGGCUUGGAAUGACUCCUGUAGUCCCCUUCCCUCCUCCUCUUAAUGAACUUCUAAUCAUAAUUCAUCCUUCAGUCCAAAGAAGGCUUUGCCGACACCACAAUAAAUUCCUCCCUCUAACAGACAGUCCCUCCACUGUCUUCCACUGCCGCUUCUUUAUCUUAACACCGAUACUUAUUUUUCACACAGGACUCUUUGUAUUUCUGUGUUCUCAACUAAGUUUUGAGGUCCUCAUGGGCAAAGACCACAGCCUAUUAAUCCCCAGUGUCUAUCACAUAAUAGAUGUUGAACUAGAAUGUAAAACAACACUAAGCAAGUACAAGUCAGUAUGGGCAUAGACCUAUGAAGUUCCAAAACUGCAUGUUAACAAGCACUUUAGGUAAGCAAGUAUCAUUAGUGAAAGUAGUCACAUUGAAAUACUGGAAACCCUUUUCAAAAAUAACGUAGUCAAAAUAUUUUUGGAAUUUGUCUUGUGCAAGUAUGUUCAGAGAAAGAUAACAUUAUUUUUCAGUUGUUUACCCACAGUGUUACCAGUUCGAUCUUCCUCUUUACUCACUAAAGAUAAUUCAUAGUGACUUGGCUGCAUACAAAUUUUAAAAAUCACCUGCAAAGAUAAGUUUUGUCACUAUUAAAAUAUAUUCAGAAGAAUAUAAGAUAGUUAUCCCCAAAGAGCAACUCUAGAAGCGACUGUAGCUAUGACAACAUUAUUAAAAUAAAUGUGCAGGCCAGGCGUGGCGGCUUAUGUCAUAAUCCCAGCACUUUGGGAAGCUGAGGUGGGCAGAUCACCUGAGGUCAGGAGUUCGAGACCAGCCUGGCCAACAUGUUGAAAACCCGUCUCUACUAAAAAUACCAAAAAUUAGCCGGGCAUGGUGGCGAGCACCUGUAAUCCCAGCUACUCAGGAGACUGAGGCAGUAGAAUCACUUGAACCCAGGAGGCAGAGAUUGCAGUGAGCCAAGAUCGUGCCACUGUACUCCAGCCUGGACAACAAGAGUGAAACUCCGUCUCAAAAAAAAAAAAAAAAAAAUAGGUAUGCAGUUUCUCAAAGUAACCGUUUUAAAGAAAGCAGCUAUUAUGUUCACAUAUAACUUUUGUUGAAUGUGUUACAAUAUGAAAACUUACUGCAUACAUUCUGGUAAGGACAAGAGAAGUAAAGAGUAAAUAUGAAUGGAAGUAAGGGAAAAAUAUGACUGAAGACAUUUUUUAAAGAUAAGUUUUAAUGAUAGAAAAAUAUGAGUAAGGGCUACCAAUUGUUUUAGUUUUAAUCAAAACUAAAAAUAUACAUCUAUGUCUUUACUGAUUUAAACUCACAUAAAACUGCCUUCCAAAAUAAAUGCAGAAUUGGGCACUUAUUUGUUCUCAUGUCUGUCCUCUCAGAGCCGACAAGCUGUAAAAAACUCUCAAAAUAAAACUCUGUUUUAUUUUCUGUUUUGCCCCGGUUUCUAUCACAUAAGUGCUCAAUAAUAUAUGUUUUACAUAAAUGCUGAAUGAGGAACAUAUAUAUCUAUAUAAACUGGGGAGCAGUGCAAGACUGGAAGAAUGUCUUGGUGUGUUGGAGAAGUUGAAGAAGAGAUUGUGGGAUAGCUAUGACACAUAGAUUGAGCUACACCACGAAUCUCUCCAUGUAACCCAGGAACCCAAGGAUAUGUGAUGAGAUGUUUGUGGAAGCAGGAAUUAAAAGGAAGAUUUCUUUUAAUAAUGCCUUGCAGUUGCACAGUGAUUUAGACCUUCCAAAAACACUUUUAAUUAUAUUAUCUCAUUUGAUCCUCAAAACAAUCGUGGGAAAUAGGCACCCCAGUCAUUAUUAUCCCCAUUUUGCAGAUGAAGAAACUGAGAUAGAGCUUUAAGUAUCUUGCCCAAGGUUAAAUAAGUAAUUAGUGAGCUGAGACAAACCCCCCACUAUUUCUGUCCUCUUACUCAGUCUCACUCCACUGUACCUUUGUGCAACAAUGUGAAGCACAUCCAAGAUGAUAUUUAGUGUGGGGACCUCUGCGUAGAGGGACACCAGUUUCUUGUCACUUCCAUAUUAGCACAGAACAAGCUGGCCCACUGUAACUAGGAAACAUAAACAAGUGAAUACAUUCUUUUAAUUUAAAAUUUUUUUGAGAGCCUGUUCUCUAUAAAGCACAUACUAGGCUCUGCGGCAAUGCAGAAAUAAAUAAAACCUAGUCCCUGUUCUUUGGAGAUCACAGAGCAGUGAGGCAGGCCAACAUACAAAUAACAUAACUACAACAGAGAUAAAGCACAGGGAUAUGGGAAAGUAGAGAGCACUGGGAUUAAUUUUGAGUCCACUUUCCUCUCAUCCAGUCCCCAGCCUGAAAGAUAUGAACUGUGGUGGCCCACACAGCUGGACUGUAAACCAUGUGACAAGAGUCAUUUCUUACCCCUUAUUCAUGUUUGUAAACUCCACAGUAGUUGGUUCUUUGCCUUGCAUAGAGUAUGUGCUCAAUAAAGACCUACUUUCUGAAAGGUUCACAGAGUUCAGCCAAACACAGGACAAGUUCUAGAAGGCAAGACGUUAACCUCAAGAUUCAAACUAGCUCUGAGAAUUAAGAACCAGCCAGACCCUUCCACUGAGCCUAGACCCAAUUAAUUACCUCUGCUCUAAUUAAGGGAAUCAGUAAUGUACUAACAGUCUAAGCAGAAAAAGAAGAACAGAUGGUGGUAAGACCUAGAAUGUUUACCCCAUUAAGAUCUAUAUCUGAAUCCAGAAGGAACACCUCAUUGCCGAGAAGAGCCCUGCAGACAGUUCACACCUCUGUUUCUUUUGCAAGAUAUAGCUACCUCAAAAAAUCCUUUCUUGAUCAAACUCUUAUGGCCUGGAAUCCUUGCGUUUCUGCUGAUGACUGUCAUUUUAGAGUACUUACUAAAGACAAUGGUUGGGGAAAUAGAUAUUUUAAAAAUAAGGGAAAAAGUGGGUAGGGUAAACCCAGGCUUACUUAUGUAAACUCUGAGUGCUGAAGUUAGAAGACAACUUUUAAGAUUAAAAAAAAAAAAAAAAAAAAAGAUUUCUGGUAGCCGCCAGAAGCUAAGAACAGAUUCUCCCUCUGAGCCUCCAGAACCCAGAUGACACCUUGAUUUCAGACUUCUGGCCUCCAAAACUGUGAGAGAAGAAAUGUGUUGUUUUAAGGCACCCAGCUGGUGACAGUUCAUCACAGUAGCCACAGGAAACUAAUACCCAGCCCCAUGGCAGGCAUAGGUCAAGCCUGGCACAGUCUGGAUCUCAGUCCCUGACUCAGACCCUGGAUGCUCGCUGCCUUGUACAGAAACAACCUGCUCAACCAAACAGGGUGACCCUGCUGAAGCCGCAAAUGUCCAACAGUCCUGCCAACCGUGGAUGCUUCUGUAGCUUCCCUUUAGCUCUCCCUCCUGGCAUGAAACCAGACACAGACUACCCAGAAGAUGAACUGAGCACUCUGCAAUGGGCCCAGCACGCUGCUGCAUCUGAGACCAUCUUCUCGGCCCUAACAACCCUGGCAGGCUCUUCUCUCUGGUGGGGAAAUUGGGCUUAGGGAAAGGACAUCUUUAGGACAGUCAUCCCACCAAGUAGAAUGACUCUAUGCAGCCUGAAUACUGUUUCCCUGGGAGGAAAAAAAUCCAAAGCAUAAACUUUUAUAAGCUGUUUUAAUUAAAACACUCUUUGUAAAGUGAUGUAUUUGAAGCAAGGGAGGAGAAAGGUUUUCUGGCAAAAGUGUCUUUUGUGGUGUUUCUUUGGUGAGCAAAAGGAACUCAACUGAUGAAAACACCAAAGCACAAACAUUCUGUGGCCAGUAAAGUGGGUGGAGGGGGCAAUGGAGACAACCUCAGGUGGGGCCCAGCUUGUAACGCUGGCAGGGCUCUGUUAAUGUGCUCCAUAAAGGGCUUUGGAGGGCAGGAGGAGCACCACCAACAUUUUAAAUGUGAGGCCAACCAUAAAACGAUUCAUGAUUAGUCCACUAAAAUGUGUUUAUUGGCAAAUAGGAAAGAGAUCCCUGAAAAUAAGCAGGAACAGGUGAUUUUCAAGGCUGACUUAGGUCUCCUAUUCAGCUACUCAACAAUUAUAUCCGAGCUACGUGCAGUGGCUCACCCUGUAAUCCCAGCACUUUGGAGGCUGAGACAAGAGGCGAAAAGUUCGAGACCAGCCUGGGCAACCUAGCGAGACACCAUCUCUAUGAAAAAUUUAAAAAUUAGCCUAGCAUGUGUCUUGUGCCUGUGGUCCCAGCUACUCAGGAGGCUGAGGUGAGAGGAUCACUUGAGCCCCAGAGGUUGAGGUUACAGUGAGCUGUGAUCACACCACUGCACUCCAGUCUGGGUGACAGAGUGAGACACUGUCUCAAGAAAAAACAAAAAUUAAAACAAACAAUAACAACAACAACAACAACAAAAAAAAACGGCAAAGUUAGAACACACAAAAGAUAGUAUAGUUCCUUACCCAUCCACCACUUGGUUUUGAGGAGAAAAGGGAAGUAAGAAGAGUUGAAGAGAAGAAAAACAGAACAGAAGAGUGGGAAAGGAAGAUGAAAGGGUGCUAUGGAGUACUAUGCACCUGUUUAGAAGUGGGGAAGUAGCACAAACACUAGCAAAAGAAGAACCACCAUGGAGUUCCUCCUUGCACAUCUCUCUCCCCUCCUGAAGGCCUAGGGUGAGCCCACAGCAUUGUUCCAGCAGUGAGGGAGUCUUCACUGCCUCCUGAGACUCUCUCACGGCUCUUAAGAUACCUCCCUGAAGUCCCUCCAAAGAAUUCAAUGUGCCCCUAGUCUAAAUCAGUUUCCUCCAUCAUAAAUACUCAUAGAUGACGCAACAAUAAAGCGUUAAUAACGAUAA
Molecule: long non-coding RNA, 6902 nt
Organism: Homo sapiens (human)
Lineage: Eukaryota; Metazoa; Chordata; Mammalia; Primates; Hominidae
Exons: 2
Source: RefSeq, a predicted model, not a curated record